Molecule: ribosomal RNA, 253 nt
Filed under: uncultured bacterium
Lineage: Bacteria
Description: partial 16S ribosomal RNA
Rfam family: Bacterial small subunit ribosomal RNA
Source: RNAcentral
UACAGAGGGUGCGAGCGUUAAUCGGAAUUACUGGGCGUAAAGCGCACGUAGGCGGCUUGGUAUGUCGGGUGUGAAAUCCCCGGGCUCAACCUGGGAACUGCAUCCGAAACUGCCUUGCUCGAGUAUGGGAGAGGGAAGUGGAAUUUCCGGUGUAGCGGUGAAAUGCGUAGAUGUCGAGAGGAACAUCGGUGGCGAAGGCGGCCUUCUGGACGGUGACUGACGCUGAGACGCGAAAGCGUGGGGAGCAAACAGG